RNAcentral lists this ribosomal RNA (461 nucleotides) under uncultured soil bacterium. RNAcentral's name for it is "bacterial SSU rRNA". It matches the Rfam family "Bacterial small subunit ribosomal RNA", at positions 94 to 599 of the family's 1533-position model. The record is from RNAcentral.
AGUGGCGGACGGGUGAGUAAUACGUAGGAAUCUGCCUGGGAGUGGGGGACAACCUGGGGAAACUCAGGCUAAUACCGCAUACUCUGUGGGAAAGCGGUGCUCGCAGAGGAGCCUACGUCGGAUUAGCUAGUUGGUAGGGUAAGGGCCUACCAAGGCGACGAUCCGUAGCUGGUCUGAGAGGAUGAUCAGCCACACUGGGACUGAGACACGGCCCAGACUCCUACGGGAGGCAGCAGUGGGGAAUCUUGGACAAUGGGCGCAAGCCUGAUCCAGCAAUGCCGCGUGGGUGAAGAAGGCCUGCGGGUUGUAAAGCCCUUUUGCCGGGGAGGAAUGCCGCUACCCGGUGAAGAAGCACCGGCCAACUCCGUGCCAGCAGCCGCGGUAAUACGGAGGGUGCGAGCGUUAAUCGGAAUUACUGGGCGUAAAGCGCACGUAGGUGGCCUGUUAAGUCAGCUGUGAAA